ACCAUUCUGGAAAACAUGAUCAUCUUGUACUUGUGACUGAUGCACGCGAUUAAAAUGACUUGAGCUUCCAUUGACAACAGGAAGAAGAUUUGUUGCUUUGUAUUUAGAAAGCUCAGCAUCCAUGCUUUUAGAUGGUGGAAGAUUCCUUUCAACCCCUGCCCCAUUUCUUGGUGGAACAAUUUCUGGUUUAGAAGCAGGUUUAGCUUCAGCAGGUGCUCCAGCUCCCUUCGAGGAAUUUGCCUGUGGAGUCUUAUGGUCUUGAGACAACUUUUGAGGGCCACCAGAAGCCUUCUUUUGAGGUAAGAGUUCAGUACUAGAGUGUACCAUCGACUGUGAAACUUUGUUACUAGUAGGAUUAGGUCCAUGUAAGAAAGCACAUCUAUCACCUUUUAGGCAGAGCCCCUUCUGGAAGAAAAUGCAUGGGACUGCUUGUUUAGCUGAAUUUUGAGGUGUGUUCAUGGCAGUUGCCACUGCCAUAUGUGAUGGAGGUAAAGAGGAUCCAGCAGAAGCUGAUGCUUGGGUUCCAAACAAGCCAUCAAGGGGUGGAUGACGAAACCCACACUUUGGAUUCAAGCAAUUCCCAUUCAACCAGAAGUAACAAUCCCUUGGGUUUACCCGGGCAUAUUCACUAUGGCGAUACUCACAUUCACUUCCCUUUUUGCAGGUUAAAGGAGAAGCAAGAAAGUAAACGCAAUCCGUAUUCCUUUUCAAGGCCUCUUCUUCUGCAGACGGC
RNAcentral lists this unclassified non-coding RNA (733 nucleotides) under Hevea brasiliensis (rubber tree). Lineage: Eukaryota; Viridiplantae; Streptophyta; Magnoliopsida; Malpighiales; Euphorbiaceae. The record is from RNAcentral.